RNAcentral lists this ribosomal RNA (253 nucleotides) under uncultured bacterium. Its description in RNAcentral is "partial 16S ribosomal RNA". It matches the Rfam family "Bacterial small subunit ribosomal RNA", at positions 524 to 776 of the family's 1533-position model. The record is from RNAcentral.
UACGAAGGGAGCUGGCGUUGUUCGGAAUUACUGGGCGUAAAGGGCGCGUAGGCGGUUUGUUAUGUCAGAUGUGAAAGCCCCGGGCUUAACCUGGGAACUGCAUUUGAAACUGGCAGACUAGAGAUCGAGAGAGGAAAGUGGAAUUACAAGUGUAGAGGUGAAAUUCGUAGAUAUUUGUAAGAACACCAGUGGCGGAGGCGACUUUCUGGCUCGAUACUGACGCUAAGGCGCGAAAGCAUGGGGAGCGAACAGG